GGAUGGUUAAACAAGUAUAUUUCACACCAGCAAUUACAUUCGUGAAAUAUUUUUAAAUAUUGGUGGUUCUGACAUGGUAAAAGUCGUUAUAAUGUAUUUUUUCUAAUUUUAGCUCUGAACAAUCAAUUAAUGGCAGCCUAAAAUGCGGCUGUAACCCAGUUUAGAACUUUCCAAGAAUCCUCCCAUUGGAGCCAGAUGAAGCAGCCUAAUGUAGCAAAUGAGAACUUCUGAGUCCAGAGCGGGGCAAGCUCCAAUCUGCCAAUAGCCUUGCCAAGAGAGCUGGAGGAAGUGGGGGAGUCACGUAACCGCCUACCUCCUCUUUCCCAAAACAGGAGCCACAUACCAACCUCUCAGCAGGGUGGGUUGGGGCCACAAGACUUAGGGCCUACCUCUCCUCGGUGGCCAAUGACAUUUAAAGAAAACAGUUGACUGCAUCUGUGAAGAUGUCAUAACGUGGAGCUUCCCUGGGAGAAAAUAAUUUGGGAAGGGAGGGAGACAUUACUGAUAUCUUUAAAACACAGAGUGUUCAAAAUGAGAGAACCACGUGCUUCUCUCCAUACCACUGGGGUGGUUUUGGUGCCCGUCUUUGGUGUGCAUUGCGGGUCUUUGUGGGGCCUGUGGUAACAACUCAUGAUUCAUCAACUACAAGUUACCAUCACAAUUUCCAAGUCAUUGGGAAGUAUUUCAUCCCCCAGAGCGGCAAUUUUCUCCAUCAGCAAGAGAAUCAAAAGGAAGUGGGAACAUCUGGCUCGAUAUGAAAGCCUGAGAGUGCCCCGACAUACACAGUUUCCAGCAUCGCUUCCAAAAAUCAA
This 812-nucleotide long non-coding RNA is filed under the name Homo sapiens (human). RNAcentral describes it as "HSALNT0115922". The record is from RNAcentral. Lineage: Eukaryota; Metazoa; Chordata; Mammalia; Primates; Hominidae.